This is a long non-coding RNA of Lynx canadensis (Canada lynx), 76 nucleotides long. RefSeq lists it as uncharacterized. The record is from RefSeq and is a predicted model, not a curated record. The transcript is spliced from 4 exons. Lineage: Eukaryota; Metazoa; Chordata; Mammalia; Carnivora; Felidae.
CAAAAGAACUAUCGAAAAAUUUGAGAAGGAGGCUGCUGAGAUGGGAAAGGGCUCCAUCAAGAAUUGAUCGGAAGAG